This 252-nucleotide ribosomal RNA is filed under the name uncultured bacterium. Its description in RNAcentral is "partial 16S ribosomal RNA". It matches the Rfam family "Bacterial small subunit ribosomal RNA", at positions 524 to 776 of the family's 1533-position model. The record is from RNAcentral.
UACGGAGGAUGCGAGCGUUACCCGGAUUUAUUGGGUUUAAAGGGUGCGUAGGCGGGCUGUUAAGUCAGCGGUAAAAGCCCGGGGCUCAACCCCGGCGAGCCGUUGAAACUGGCUGUCUUGAGAUGUCGAGAGGUAUGCGGAAUGCGCAGUGUAGCGGUGAAAUGCUUAGAUAUUGCGCAGAACUCCGAUUGCGAAGGCAGCAUACCGGCGGCGAUCUGACGCUGAGGCACGAAAGCGUGGGUAUCGAACAGG